Molecule: ribosomal RNA, 251 nt
Filed under: uncultured prokaryote
Description: partial 16S rRNA
Rfam family: Bacterial small subunit ribosomal RNA
Source: RNAcentral
ACGGAAGAUCCGAGCGUUAUCCGGAUUUAUUGGGUUUAAAGGGUGCGUAGGCGGACGUUCAAGUCAGUUGUGAAAUCCUGUGGCUUAACCAUAGAAUUGCAGUUGAAACUGAAUUUCUUGAGUUUAGAUAAGGAUGGCGGAAUUUGUAGUGUAGCGGUGAAAUGCUUAGAUAUCACACAGAACACCAAUUGCGGAGGCAGCCAACCGAGCCGACACUGACGCUGAGGCUCGAAAGUGUGGGAAUCGAACAG